AGGCACACGCACACACACUCUGUCUGUGGGAAGCAGCCAGGCCGCCCACACCACCACACCCCAUCCCCUGCCAAUGCCGAGCCGCCUCUGGUGGGGUAAGAGGGUGGAGCGCUGACGAGGUAGGGAGCUCAGAGCGCCCCAUCGCUACGGAUGUCGGCGGUGAGGUCCUGCACGGUGCUGCGUCGGAGCGACCGGCGACCGUGCCCACGUCUGUGCCGUCCAUGUGAUGGGCAGAGUGUCGGCGUGACUCGAGCGCAUCCCACCCCCGGCCCUCACACUGCCCACCGGUGGGGGAGUCUGAGUGCCACCCCGAGGGGGGAUGCGCCAGGGAUGGCGACCUGCGAAGAGGCGGGUGGGCGGGUAGAGUUUGGUGCAGGGGGGCCGCGCUCAGACGACGGAGUCGGCGCGCCGCUGUAACGCGGGUGUCGGCGGCUGCGUCGCACCUGGGGGUGGGGGUAGAGAGUGGCGUGUGGUUUGAGCCUGUGCCAUGCUGCCGCAGGGAAUGGGGCACGCACACACACACACACACACACACGUGCUGUGGAGACGACAAAAACGUUUCUUCGCCUUCGCCAAUGGGCGAUGCGCAUGUAUUCUGCGUUUUGCACGUCACGACGCUUCCCUUGCGUCGGCCGCUGCUGUCGUUGCGGUUGGCGUUCCGACCUUCUCUCUCCCACCUUCACUUCGUCUUCUCCGUUCCUGUCUCAG
This 708-nucleotide unclassified non-coding RNA is filed under the name Leishmania donovani. Its description in RNAcentral is "gene:unknown". Lineage: Eukaryota; Euglenozoa; Kinetoplastea; Trypanosomatida; Trypanosomatidae. The record is from RNAcentral.